Molecule: long non-coding RNA, 248 nt
Filed under: Capsella rubella
Lineage: Eukaryota; Viridiplantae; Streptophyta; Magnoliopsida; Brassicales; Brassicaceae
Description: long non-coding RNA (CRUB_LNC002767)
Source: RNAcentral
AAAUUUUUACCCGUUAAGAUAUUAGCAUUUGAUUUUUUAAUUAACUUUUUGUAUGUAUUCAUCCUAUAAAGUUUUUUUUUUCUUCUUUAAUAUAGUAUAAUAGCUUGAUCUUGAUGAGCAUUUCAAUUUUAAUUCUCACUGCUUUAUAUGCUUAAAAAGUUGAAAACUAAAGAAGACAGAUAAGAACCCAGAAAGCAGAGAGAUUAAAAACGUAAAAAUGUAUUCGUUGUUUUGGCAAAAAAAAAAAA